This is a long non-coding RNA of Manduca sexta (tobacco hornworm), 458 nucleotides long. RefSeq lists it as uncharacterized. The transcript has 3 exons. Lineage: Eukaryota; Metazoa; Arthropoda; Insecta; Lepidoptera; Sphingidae. The record is from RefSeq and is a predicted model, not a curated record.
UCUCUGGUCGCCAUGACAGUCCAAUUAAAUGCAUUUAAUAGUUAAAAAUAAGUUAAUUACUGUAUACUUAUUCCUAACGUAUGACAUGAAAGGUUUUUUUUCAUUCACAGUCCGAAUGCCCACUAAAUUAGAGAAGCUGCAAUUGGAAUGUCUACGACUUCCACCGUACUACCCGGACGUUGCUGCAAAAGAUUAACACUUUUCCGUAAUAUGGAUAACUAUUUACAAGGAAAAAAAUUGGACUCCGAUGUGUCUAAGUAAUACGGCCUUAGGGAGAGACGAAUCGGGAACCACCUGGGGCCGUGCGCUUACAGGGGCCUCGCGCGGUGCCUUGGAGGACCUUGUUUACGAUAUUACGGAUGGAACUAUUAAAACCGGGGAACUGUUUUUCUCUCCGCCCGGGCACCGCGUCGUGAAGGUGAUUAAAGUAUGAAAUAAAAUAGCUUUUAUUGUGACUA